UAGGGAAUCUUCGGCAAUGGACGAAAGUCUGACCGAGCAACGCCGCGUGAGUGAAGAAGGUUUUCGGAUCGUAAAACUCUGUUGUUAGAGAAGAACAAGGACGUUAGUAACUGAACGUCCCCUGACGGUAUCUAACCAGAAAGCCACGGCUAACUACGUGCCAGCAGCCGCGGUAAUACGUAGGUGGCAAGCGUUGUCCGGAUUUAUUGGGCGUAAAGCGAGCGCAGGCGGUUUCUUAAGUCUGAUGUGAAAGCCCCCGGCUCAACCGGGGAGGGUCAUUGGAAACUGUGAGACUUGAGUGCAGAAGAGGAGAGUGGAAUUCCAUGUGUAGCGGUGAAAUGCGUAGAUAUAUGGAGGAACACCAGUGGCGAAGGCGGCUAUCUGGUCUGUAACUGACGCUGAGGCUCGAAAGCGUGGGGAGCAAACAGG
This 429-nucleotide ribosomal RNA is filed under the name Gemmatimonadota bacterium. Its description in RNAcentral is "Gemmatimonadetes bacterium partial 16S ribosomal RNA". It matches the Rfam family "Bacterial small subunit ribosomal RNA", at positions 355 to 776 of the family's 1533-position model. The record is from RNAcentral. Lineage: Bacteria; Pseudomonadati; Gemmatimonadota.